ACUCCUACGGGAGGCAGCAGUGGGGAAUAUUGGACAAUGGGCGCAAGCCUGAUCCAGCCAUGCCGCGUGAGUGAUGAAGGCCCUAGGGUUGUAAAGCUCUUUCACCGGUGAAGAUAAUGACGGUAACCGGAGAAGAAGCCCCGGCUAACUUCGUGCCAGCAGCCGCGGUAAUACGAAGGGGGCUAGCGUUGUUCGGAUUUACUGGGCGUAAAGCGCACGUAGGCGGACUAUUAAGUCAGGGGUGAAAUCCCGGGGCUCAACCCCGGAACUGCCUUUGAUACUGGUAGUCUUGAGUUCGAGAGAGGUGAGUGGAAUUCCGAGUGUAGAGGUGAAAUUCGUAGAUAUUCGGAGGAACACCAGUGGCGAAGGCGGCUCACUGGCUCGAUACUGACGCUGAGGUGCGAAAGCGUGGGGAGCAAACAGGAUUAGAUACCCCAGUAGUCCCAUGAU
Molecule: ribosomal RNA, 450 nt
Filed under: uncultured organism
Description: partial 16S ribosomal RNA
Rfam family: Bacterial small subunit ribosomal RNA
Source: RNAcentral